GGGACACGUGGUAUCCUGUCUGAAUAUGGGGGGACCAUCCUCCAAGGCUAAAUACUCCUGACUGACCGAUAGUGAACCAGUACCGUGAGGGAAAGGCGAAAAGAACCCCGGCGAGGGGAGUGAAAAAGAACCUGAAACCGUGUACGUACAAGCAGUGGGAGCACCUUCGGGUGUGACUGCGUACCUUUUGUAUAAUGGGUCAGCGACUUAUAUUCUGUAGCAAGGUUAACCGUAUAGGGGAGCCGCAGGGAAACCGAGUCUUAACUGGGCGUUAAGUUGCAGGGUAUAGACCCGAAACCCGGUGAUCUAGCCAUGGGCAGGUUGAAGGUUGGGUAACACUAACUGGAGGACCGAACCGACUAAUGUUGAAAAAUUAGCGGAUGACUUGUGGCUGGGGGUGAAAGGCCAAUCAAACCGGGAGAUAGCUGGUUCUCCCCGAAAGCUAUUUAGGUAGCGCCUCGUGAAUUCAUCUUCGGGGGUAGAGCACUGUUUCGGCUAGGGGGUCAUCCCGACUUACCAACCCGAUGCAAACUACGAAUACCGAAGAAUGUUAUCACGGGAGACACACGGCGGGUGCUAACGUCCGUCGUGAAGAGGGAAACAACCCAGACCGCCAGCUAAGGUCCCAAAGUCAUGGUUAAGUGGGAAACGAUGUGGGAAGGCACAGACAGCCAGGAUGUUGGCUUAGAAGCAGCCAUCAUUUAAAGAAAGCGUAAUAGCUCACUGGUCGAGUCGGCCUGCGCGGAAGAUGUAACGGGGCUAAACCAUGCACCGAAGCUGCGGCAGCGACACUAUGUGUUGUUGGGUAGGGGAGCGUUCUGUAAGCCUGCGAAGGUGUGCUGUGAGGCAUGCUGGAGGUAUCAGAAGUGCGAAUGCUGACAUAAGUAACGAUAAAGCGGGUGAAAAGCCCGCUCGCCGGAAGACCAAGGGUUCCUGUCCAACGUUAAUCGGGGCAGGGUGAGUCGACCCCUAAGGCGAGGCCGAAAGGCGUAGUCGAUGGGAAACAGGUUAAUAUUCCUGUACUUGGUGUUACUGCGAAGGGGGGACGGAGAAGGCUAUGUUAGCCGGGCGACGGUUGUCCCGGUUUAAGCAUGUAGGCUGGUUGUCCAGGCAAAUCCGGAUAAUCAAGGCUGAGGUGUGAUGACGAGGCACUACGGUGCUGAAGUAACAAAUGCCCUGCUUCCAGGAAAAGCCUCUAAGCAUCAGGUAACAUCAAAUCGUACCCCAAACCGACACAGGUGGUCAGGUAGAGAAUACCAAGGCGCUUGAGAGAACUCGGGUGAAGGAACUAGGCAAAAUGGUGCCGUAACUUCGGGAGAAGGCACGCUGGUGUGUAGGUGAAGUCCCUGCGGAUGGAGCUGAGACCAGUCGAAGAUACCAGCUGGCUGCAACUGUUUAUUAAAAACACAGCACUGUGCAAACACGAAAGUGGACGUAUACGGUGUGACGCCUGCCCGGUGCCGGAAGGUUAAUUGAUGGGGUUAUCCGUAAGGAGAAGCUCUUGAUCGAAGCCCCGGUAAACGGCGGCCGUAACUAUAACGGUCCUAAGGUAGCGAAAUUCCUUGUCGGGUAAGUUCCGACCUGCACGAAUGGCGUAAUGAUGGCCAGGCUGUCUCCACCCGAGACUCAGUGAAAUUGAACUCGCUGUGAAGAUGCAGUGUACCCGCGGCAAGACGGAAAGACCCCGUGAACCUUUACUAUAGCUUGACACUGAACAUUGAGCCUUGAUGUGUAGGAUAGGUGGGAGGCUUUGAAGCGUGGACGCCAGUCUGCGUGGAGCCAACCUUGAAAUACCACCCUUUAAUGUUUGAUGUUCUAACGUUGGCCCCUUACCGGGGUUGCGGACAGUGUCUGGUGGGUAGUUUGACUGGGGCGGUCUCCUCCCAAAGCGUAACGGAGGAGCACGAAGGUUAGCUAAUCCUGGUCGGACAUCAGGAGGUUAGUGCAAUGGCAUAAGCUAGCUUGACUGCGAGCGUGACGGCGCGAGCAGGUGCGAAAGCAGGUCAUAGUGAUCCGGUGGUUCUGAAUGGAAGGGCCAUCGCUCAACGGAUAAAAGGUACUCCGGGGAUAACAGGCUGAUACCGCCCAAGAGUUCAUAUCGACGGCGGUGUUUGGCACCUCGAUGUCGGCUCAUCACAUCCUGGGGCUGAAGUAGGUCCCAAGGGUAUGGCUGUUCGCCAUUUAAAGUGGUACGCGAGCUGGGUUUAGAACGUCGUGAGACAGUUCGGUCCCUAUCUGCCG
RNAcentral lists this ribosomal RNA (2241 nucleotides) under Klebsiella pneumoniae. RNAcentral describes it as "partial 23S ribosomal RNA". It matches the Rfam family "Bacterial large subunit ribosomal RNA", at positions 419 to 2647 of the family's 2925-position model. Lineage: Bacteria; Pseudomonadati; Pseudomonadota; Gammaproteobacteria; Enterobacterales; Enterobacteriaceae. The record is from RNAcentral.